This 376-nucleotide RNase P RNA is filed under the name Saprospiraceae bacterium. Its description in RNAcentral is "RNase P RNA component class A". It matches the Rfam family "Bacterial RNase P class A". From Rfam's summary of the family: Ribonuclease P (RNase P) is a ubiquitous endoribonuclease, found in archaea, bacteria and eukarya as well as chloroplasts and mitochondria. Its best characterised activity is the generation of mature 5'-ends of tRNAs by cleaving the 5'-leader elements of precursor-tRNAs. Cellular RNase Ps are ribonucleoproteins. The record is from RNAcentral. Lineage: Bacteria; Pseudomonadati; Bacteroidota; Saprospiria; Saprospirales; Saprospiraceae.
UGCGGGUAUUGUUCUAUCGCGCCAGGUCUCGCGCCUGGUGAGGAAAGUCCGGACAACGUCGGGAGUUGCACCACCUAACUGGUGGACAUUCGAGAGAAUGAUAGAAAGUGUCACAGAAAAUAACCGUCCUGCCUAGCAGGAUAAGGGUGAAAAUGUGUGGUAAGAGCGCACAGGCGCAUUUAGUAAUAAAUGCAUCGGAUAAACCUUGCAAGUUGAAAUGCCAAAUAAAUCCGCUAACUAGCAAUAGUUUGUUCCCCGGACAGGUUCAGGCCGGCGGAAGGGUAGGCAGAUUGAGGUCUUAAGUGAUUAAGAUCCCAGAUAAAUGAUAGAAGGUCCGUAAGGAUUACAGAAUCCGGCUUACAGAUAUCCGCAUCCA